This is a non-coding RNA of Salvia hispanica, 693 nucleotides long. Lineage: Eukaryota; Viridiplantae; Streptophyta; Magnoliopsida; Lamiales; Lamiaceae. The record is from RefSeq and is a predicted model, not a curated record.
AUUUGAGUUUAAAAGAUAUCCAUUAUCUCUCUUCGGGUGCAUGCUCUCUCGACUGAAGGGUUGUGCAGCCAUUGUUGGUCUUUGUCUCAUCUUUCUCAGCUACCGCUAUCCUUCACACCUUACCAUUUAAAGUCCAAAAGAUAUCCAAUCUCUCUUCGUGUGCACGCUCUCUCCACUGAAGGGUUGUGUAGCCACUGCUGAUCUUUGUCUCAUCUUUCUCAGCUGCUAUUCUUCACACCUCUCUAUUUGAGACCGUUAGCUAUCCAAUCUCUUUUCGUGUGCAUCUCGAGUGAAGGUUUGUGCAGCCAUUAACGUUCUUUGUCUCCUCUAUCUGAGAUGGAUUUAUUCCUGGGUACAACCAAUGGAUAACUCAUGGAGAACUUCCUAGUCGCCUUUCAUCUAGGGGGUGAAAAUCAACAUAAUAGUUUGGGCGAUGAUGAUAUGCACGGUUUAGUUCAUGAUGCAUUUGGAGUUCCAAAUGAAGAUGGAUCUACAAAAGAAUAUACAGGAUCUCCGAUGGAUGCAUAAAUUGCUAAUGGGCAAGCAAAAGAAUUUUUAAGUUGAUUGAUAGUUUGCAAGAACUGUUGUAUGAAGGAUGUUCUAAAUUCUCAAAACUAUCAUUCAUAAUCCGUUUGUUGCACUUAAAGUGUAUUGGGAGCUUGAAUAAUAAAGUAUUCGAUAUGCUUUUAGACU